RNAcentral lists this ribosomal RNA (468 nucleotides) under uncultured bacterium. Its description in RNAcentral is "partial 16S ribosomal RNA". It matches the Rfam family "Bacterial small subunit ribosomal RNA", at positions 28 to 507 of the family's 1533-position model. The record is from RNAcentral.
GACGAACGCUGGCGGCGUGCUUAACACAUGCAAGUCGAACGGAAAGGCCCUGCUUUUGUGGGGUGCUCGAGUGGCGAACGGGUGAGUAACACGUGAGUAACCUGCCCUUGACUUUGGUAUUACUUCACGAAACUGGGGCUAAUACCGUAUAGGAGCUCCUGCUUCUUGGUGGGGUUUGGAAAGUUUCGGCGGUUGUGGAUGUACUCGCGGCUUAUCAGCUUGUUGGUGGGGUAGUGGCUUACCAAGGCUUCGACGGGUAGCCGGCCUGAGAGGGUGACCGGCCACAUUGGGACUGAGAUACGGCCCAGACUCGUACGGGAGGCAGCAGUGGGGAAUAUUGCAAAAUGGGGGGAAGCCUGAUGCAGCAACGCCGCGUGCGGGAUGACGGCCUUCGGGUUGUAAACCGCUUUCGCCUGUGACGAAGCGUGGGUGACGGUAAUGGGUAAAGAAGCACCGGCUAACUACGUG